This 1007-nucleotide ribosomal RNA is filed under the name uncultured organism. RNAcentral describes it as "bacterial SSU rRNA". It matches the Rfam family "Bacterial small subunit ribosomal RNA", at positions 37 to 1080 of the family's 1533-position model. The record is from RNAcentral.
UGGCGGCGUGUUAACACAUGCAAGUCGAGGGAGAAGCCGAACUUCGGUUCGGUGGAGACCGGCGCACGGGUGAGUAGCACGUGGAUCAUCUAGCUUCGGGUCUGGGAUAACGUUCCGAAAGGGGUGCUAAUACCGGAUACGUCAGCGUUGCUGGGAAAGCUCCGGCGCCCGAAGAUGAGUCCGCGUCCCAUUAGGUAGUUGGUGAGGUAAGGGCUCACCAAGCCGAAGAUGGGUAGCUGGUCUGAGAGGAUGACCAGCCACACUGGGACUGAGACACGGCCCAGACUCCUACGGGAGGCAGCAGUGGGGAAUCUUGCGCAAUGGACGAAAGUCUGACGCAGCAACGCCGCGUGGGUGAUGAAGGCCUUCGGGUCGUAAAGCCCUGUCAGAAGGGAAGAUAAUGACGGUACCUUCAGAGGAAGCACCGGCUAACUCCGUGCCAGCAGCCGCGGUAAUACGGAGGGUGCAAACGUUGUUCGGAAUCAUUGGGCGUAAAGCGCGCGUAGGCGGCGCCGUAGGUCGGGUGUGAAAUCCCGGGGCUCAACCCCGGAACUGCGCUCGAAACCCCGGUGCUCGGGUCUCGGAGGGAGAAGUGGAAUUCCUGGUGUAGGGGUGAAAUCCGUAGAUAUCAGGAGGAACACCGGCGGCGAAGGCGACUUCUUGGCCGAAGACUGACGCUGAGGUGCGAAAGUGUGGGGAGCGAACCAGGAUUAGAUACCCUGGUAGUCCACACCGUAAACGAUGCUCACUAGCUGGCGGGUGCAUGAACCCACGCGCUGGCGCAGUUAACCGCGUUACGUGAGCCCNCUGGGGAGUACGGUCCGCAGAUUCAACCUCAAAGGAAUUGACGGGGNGCCCGCACAAGCGGUGGAGCAUGUGGUUUACUUCGCAGCAACGCGCAGACUUACUGGUUGACAUCUCCGACGACCAGAGAUGGACCGGUGCCCUUCGGGACGGAGUGACAGUGCUGCAUGGCGUCGUCAGCUUCGUGUCGUGAGAUGUUGGGU